Molecule: ribosomal RNA, 440 nt
Filed under: uncultured bacterium
Lineage: Bacteria
Description: partial 16S ribosomal RNA
Rfam family: Bacterial small subunit ribosomal RNA
Source: RNAcentral
CCUACGGGGGGCAGCAGUGGGGAAUAUUGCACAAUGGGGGGAACCCUGAUGCAGCGACGCCGCGUGAGUGAAGAAGUAUUUCGGUAUGUAAAGCUCUAUCAGCAGGGAAGAAGAUGACGGUACCGGACUAAUAAGCCCCGGCUAACUACGUGACAGCAGCCGCGGUAAUACGUAGGGGGCCAGCGUUAUCCGGAUUUACUGGGUGUAAAGGGAGCGUAGACGGCAGGGCAAGUCUGGAGUGAAAGCCCGGGGCCCCACCCCGGGACUGCGUUGGACACUGCCAUGCUAGAGUGCUGGAGAGGUAAGCGGAACUCCUAGUGUAGCGGUGAAAUGCGUAGAUAUUAGGAGGAACACCAGUGGCGAAGGCGGCUUACUGGACAGUAACUGACGUUGAGGCUCGAAAGCGUGGGGAGCAAACAGGAUUAGAUACCCUGGUAGUC